CAAAGGUUUGGUCCUAGCCUUUCUAUUAAUUUUAAUUAAACCUACACAUGCAAGUUUCCGCCUACCCGUGAGAAUGCCCUCAAAACUAUAUUCUAAGUCAAAAGGAGCUGGUAUCAGGCACACUAUAAGUAGCCCACUACACCUUGCUUAACCACACCCCCAAGGGACACAGCAGUGACUAACAUUAAGCCAUAAACGAAAGUUUGACUAAGUUAUAAUUAUUUAGGGUUGGUAAAUUUCGUGCCAGCCACCGCGGUCAUACGAUUAACCCAAAUUAAUAGACUAACGGCGUAAAGCGUGUUUAAAUUAUUAAAACCAUAAUAAAGUUAAUACUUAACUAAACUGUAAUACGUUGUAGUUAAUACUAAAAUAUACUACCAAAGUGACUUUAAUAUAAUUGAAAACACGACAGCUAAGGUACAAACUGGGAUUAGAUACCCCACUAUGCUUAGCCCUAAACCUAAAUUAUUAAUUAACAAAAUAACUCGCCAGAGAACUACUAGCAAAUGCUUAAAACUCAAAGGACUUGGCGGUGCCCUAAACCCAUCUAGAGGAGCCUGUUCUAUAAUCGAUAAACCCCGAUAUACCUCACCCUCUCUUGCCAAUACAGUCUAUAUACCGCCAUCGUCAGCUCACCCCACAGGGUCAAAAAGUAAGCAAAAUCAUUAUCCAUAAAAACGUUAGGUCAAGGUGUAACAUAUGAGAAGGAAAGAAAUGGGCUACAUUCUCUAAUUUAGAGAAUCAACGAAUCAUCUUAUGAAAUUAAGAUGCCUGAAGGAGGAUUUAGUAGUAAAUUAAGAAUAGAGUGCUUAAUUGAAAUAGGCAAUAGGGCGCGCACACACCGCCCGUCACCCUCCUCAACGUAACAAUAAACUAUUAAUAAUAAAUUAACAGUAACAUAAAGAGGAGAAAAGUCGUAACAUGGUAAGUGUACUGGAAAGUGCACUUGGAUUAUC
This 956-nucleotide non-coding RNA is filed under the name Echymipera kalubu kalubu. RNAcentral's name for it is "12S ribosomal RNA". It matches the Rfam family "Bacterial small subunit ribosomal RNA". The record is from RNAcentral. Lineage: Eukaryota; Metazoa; Chordata; Mammalia; Peramelemorphia; Peroryctidae.